ACUCCUACGGGAGGCAGCAGUGGGGAAUAUUGGACAAUGGGCGCAAGCCUGAUCCAGCAAUGCCGCGUGAGUGAUGAAGGCCUUAGGGUUGUAAAGCUCUUUCGACGGGGACGAUGAUGACGGUACCCGUAGAAGAAGCCCCGGCUAACUUCGUGCCAGCAGCCGCGGUAAGACGAAGGGGGCUAGCGUUGUUCGGAAUUACUGGGCGUAAAGCGCGCGUAGGCGGCUCUUCAAGUCAGGCGUGAAAGCCCCGGGCUUAACCCGGGAAUAGCGUUUGAUACUGUUGGGCUUGAGUCCGGGAGAGGAUAGUGGAAUUCCCAGUGUAGAGGUGAAAUUCGUAGAUAUUGGGAAGAACACCAGUGGCGAAGGCGGCUAUCUGGACCGGAACUGACGCUGAGGCGCGAAAGCGUGGGGAGCAAACAGGAUUAGAUACCCUGGUAGUCCACGCCGUAAACGAUGAGUGCUAGACGUUGGGGAGCUUGCUCUUCAGUGUCGUAGCUAACGCGAUAAGCACUCCGCCUGGGGAGUACGGCCGCAAGGUUAAAACUCAAAGGAAUUGACG
RNAcentral lists this ribosomal RNA (562 nucleotides) under uncultured Alphaproteobacteria bacterium. RNAcentral's name for it is "bacterial SSU rRNA". It matches the Rfam family "Bacterial small subunit ribosomal RNA", at positions 335 to 915 of the family's 1533-position model. Lineage: Bacteria; Pseudomonadati; Pseudomonadota; Alphaproteobacteria. The record is from RNAcentral.